Molecule: long non-coding RNA, 500 nt
Filed under: Mytilus galloprovincialis (Mediterranean mussel)
Lineage: Eukaryota; Metazoa; Mollusca; Bivalvia; Mytilida; Mytilidae
Source: RNAcentral
CUGUGAUAACAGUUUAUUAUAAUGCGUGAUAAUACGUCCACGUUUAACUAUUUUUUAAGGCGCAUAAAAGUACAUAUCUUAUAAACUGCAACAGCUGGCAUUAUAUGCAAACUAUCUUAAAACAUUUUAAGAACAUAUUCUAUGAAUUGAAUUUUUAUACCCCAUUUAUGAGCAUUAUAUUUUUUGGUAUGUGCGUCCGUUCAUUUGUCCGUUUAUUCGUUCGUUCAUUCGUCCGUUCGUUCGUUCAUCUUCACGUUAGUUCGUCCUUCUUCCCGUUCGCUCAUUUGUUCAUCUGUCCCGCUCUAAACUCAGUGUUGUUUGCAUAUUAUUGAUUUGUAAUUGCCUUUGCCUAGUUUAAUACUCUCAUAUAGGAGGCUUAUAAAAAUCAUAUGAAUGGAUAAAUAAUUUUUUUCCUCUCAUAUCGGUUAAACGGCUUACACUAAAAUUAUAAAAAAAACAAAUACACCCUUUUAUUAUUUCACCACGUACUAAUAUUUGAA